RNAcentral lists this ribosomal RNA (561 nucleotides) under Hepatozoon canis. Its description in RNAcentral is "bacterial SSU rRNA". It matches the Rfam family "Eukaryotic small subunit ribosomal RNA", at positions 503 to 1062 of the family's 1831-position model. Lineage: Eukaryota; Apicomplexa; Hepatozoidae. RNAcentral also lists the same sequence under 1 other name. The record is from RNAcentral.
UUGUAAUUGGAAUGAUAGAAAUUUAAACCCUUUUUAAAGUAUCAAUUGGAGGGCAAGUCUGGUGCCAGCAGCCGCGGUAAUUCCAGCUCCAAUAGCGUAUAUUAAAAUUGUUGCAGUUAAAAAGCUCGUAGUUGAAGUUCUGCUAAAAGUAACCGGUCUGCUUUGAAUAAAAGUGGUAUCUUGGUAUGUAUUUAGCAAUGAUGUCCUUUGAAGUGUUUUUUACUUUAUUGUAAUAAAGCAUAUUCAGGACUUUUACUUUGAGAAAAUUAGAGUGUUUCUAGCAGGCCAACGCUUUGAAUACUGCAGCAUGGAAUAAUAAGAUAGGAUUUUAGUUCUACAUUAUUGGUUUUAAGAGCUAAAUUAAUGAUUGAUAGGGACAGUUGGGGGCAUUUGUAUUUAACUGUCAGAGGUGAAAUUCUUAGAUUUGUUAAAGACAAACUACUGCGAAAGCAUUUGCCAAAGAUGUUUUCAUUAAUCAAGAACGAAAGUUAGGGGAUCGAAGACGAUCAGAUACCGUCGUAGUCUUAACUAUAAACUAUGCCGACUAGAGAUUGGAGGUCG